RNAcentral lists this ribosomal RNA (1167 nucleotides) under Enterococcus durans. Its description in RNAcentral is "bacterial SSU rRNA". It matches the Rfam family "Bacterial small subunit ribosomal RNA", at positions 218 to 1378 of the family's 1533-position model. The record is from RNAcentral. Lineage: Bacteria; Bacillati; Bacillota; Bacilli; Lactobacillales; Enterococcaceae.
CUGAUGGAUGGACCCGCGGUGCAUUAGCUAGUUGGUGAGGUAACGGCUCACCAAGGCCACGAUGCAUAGCCGACCUGAGAGGGUGAUCGGCCACAUUGGGACUGAGACACGGCCCAAACUCCUACGGGAGGCAGCAGUAGGGAAUCUUCGGCAAUGGACGAAAGUCUGACCGAGCAACGCCGCGUGAGUGAAGAAGGUUUUCGGAUCGUAAAACUCUGUUGUUAGAGAAGAACAAGGAUGAGAGUAACUGUUCAUCCCUUGACGGUAUCUAACCAGAAAGCCACGGCUAACUACGUGCCAGCAGCCGCGGUAAUACGUAGGUGGCAAGCGUUGUCCGGAUUUAUUGGGCGUAAAGCGAGCGCAGGCGGUUUCUUAAGUCUGAUGUGAAAGCCCCCGGCUCAACCGGGGAGGGUCAUUGGAAACUGGGAGACUUGAGUGCAGAAGAGGAGAGUGGAAUUCCAUGUGUAGCGGUGAAAUGCGUAGAUAUAUGGAGGAACACCAGUGGCGAAGGCGGCUCUCUGGUCUGUAACUGACGCUGAGGCUCGAAAGCGUGGGGAGCAAACAGGAUUAGAUACCCUGGUAGUCCACGCCGUAAACGAUGAGUGCUAAGUGUUGGAGGGUUUCCGCCCUUCAGUGCUGCAGCUAACGCAUUAAGCACUCCGCCUGGGGAGUACGACCGCAAGGUUGAAACUCAAAGGAAUUGACGGGGGCCCGCACAAGCGGUGGAGCAUGUGGUUUAAUUCGAAGCAACGCGAAGAACCUUACCAGGUCUUGACAUCCUUUGACCACUCUAGAGAUAGAGCUUCCCCUUCGGGGGCAAAGUGACAGGUGGUGCAUGGUUGUCGUCAGCUCGUGUCGUGAGAUGUUGGGUUAAGUCCCGCAACGAGCGCAACCCUUAUUGUUAGUUGCCAUCAUUCAGUUGGGCACUCUAGCAAGACUGCCGGUGACAAACCGGAGGAAGGUGGGGAUGACGUCAAAUCAUCAUGCCCCUUAUGACCUGGGCUACACACGUGCUACAAUGGGAAGUACAACGAGUCGCGAAGUCGCGAGGCUAAGCUAAUCUCUUAAAGCUUCUCUCAGUUCGGAUUGUAGGCUGCAACUCGCCUACAUGAAGCCGGAAUCGCUAGUAAUCGCGGAUCAGCACGCCGCGGUGAAUACGUUCCCGGG